GGUAACAAAAUGGCUUAGUGGUUAGAAUGUCUGCCUCACACCUCCAGGGUCGGGGGUUCGAUUCCCACUGUAACCC
Molecule: non-coding RNA, 76 nt
Organism: Ameiurus melas (black bullhead)
Lineage: Eukaryota; Metazoa; Chordata; Actinopteri; Siluriformes; Ictaluridae
Source: the annotation of a GenBank genome assembly